AGAGUACACACAAGGAGUAGAUGACUCCCUUUUCGUGUCAGAAAUUUGUUCAGAAGAGGAACAACAACAAUGGUUGACCAAUAAAAGGAGCAAAAGGAGCGCACAAUAAUUGAUUAUGCUACUCUAUCUCUUAGUAGAAUUGAAUCAAGUGUCAUAAGGCUAGCUGUAAUAGCUAACAACUUUGAGAUUAAGCCAGCCAUC
RNAcentral lists this long non-coding RNA (201 nucleotides) under Carica papaya (papaya). Its description in RNAcentral is "long non-coding RNA (CPAP_LNC009568)". The record is from RNAcentral. Lineage: Eukaryota; Viridiplantae; Streptophyta; Magnoliopsida; Brassicales; Caricaceae.